This is an RNA transcript of Sapajus apella (tufted capuchin), 1736 nucleotides long. It is a transcript of the gene named eukaryotic translation initiation factor 5 pseudogene, with no coding region annotated. NCBI's taxonomy places the organism in Eukaryota, Metazoa, Chordata, Mammalia, Primates, Cebidae. The record is from RefSeq and is a predicted model, not a curated record. The transcript has a single exon.
AGCAUACAAGCAAGCAGCUUACAGCCGCAGUGGCAAAAUUUUUUUUUUUUAUGUCAGAAACUGAGAACUCUUGCAGUCUUUAUCUCAUCCCUUCUUCUCCAGACAGAAGAUACCAAAAUGUUGCAAUCAAAGAUCUCUUCACCUUAUUGAUAAAGCCACUAAUAAGCCAAAAUAUCUGUCAACGUCAACUGCAGCAUGUCAGACCAGUUCUAUGGCUACAAGAUGCCCCGUCUGAUUGCCAAGGUUGAGCGCAAAGGAAAUGGAAUCAAGACAGUUAUAGUUAACAUGGUUGACGCUGCAAAGGUGCUUAAUCGGCCUCCAACAUAUCCCACCAAAUAUUUUGGUUGUGAUCUGGAAGCACAGACUCAGUUUGAUGUUAAGAAUGACCGUUACAUUGUCCAUUGAUCUCAUGAGGCGAAUAAGACAUGUUGGGUGGAUUCAUUAAAAAAUUUGUUCUCUGUCCUGAACGUGAGAAUCCUGAAACAGAUAUGCAUGUCAAUCCAAAGAAGGAAACAACAGAUAAUUCUUGUAAAGCCUGUGCCUAUCGAGGCAUGCUUGACACACAUCAUAAACUCUGCACAUUCAUUCUCAAAAGCCCGCCCAAGAAUAGUGACAGUGGUGCAGGAAAGAAAGAAAAGGAGAAGAAAAAUAGAAAGGGCAAAGACAAGGAAAAUGGCUCCAUAUCCAGCAGUGAGACGCCGCCACCACCAAAUGGAAUUAGUCCUCCUCCACAUACAGUGGAAGCAGAGGAGGAGGAUGCCUGGGGAGAAAAUACAACUGAGAAAGCUCAAAGGCAUCCAAUGGAUGAAAUCAGUGACCAUGCAAAGGUUCUGACUCUCGGUGAUGGUUUGGAGAGAACAGUUGAGGGGUGGGUCAAUAUCAUCUUUGAUUUUGCCAAGAAGAAGAAAGAAGAGGCUAUUAUUGAUUCAUCUGACAAAGAAAUUGUUACUGAAGCAGCAAGACUGGAUGUGAAAGCCAUGGGCCCUCUUGUUCUGACUGAAGUUCUUUUUAAUGAGAAGAUUAGAGAACAAAUUAAGAAAUAUAGGCGCCAUUUCCUACUAUUUUGUCUCAACAAAAAAGCUCAAAGGUGCCUUCUUCAUGGUUCGGAGUGUGCGGUAGCAACGCAUCAAGCUCAGCAUAUCUCCACGAUUCCAUGUAUCUUGAAAGAGUUGUACGAAGCAGACCUUUUAGAAGAGGCCAGCAUCAGCUGGUUGGAAAAGAUCUCUAAGAAAUACGUCUCCAAAGAACUUGCCAAAGAGACUCGUGUCAAAGCAGAACCAUUUAUGAAAUGGUUAAAGGAGGCAGAGGAAGAAUCCUCUGGUGGUGGAGAAGAAGAUGAAGAUGAGAACAUGGAGGUGGUGUAUUCGAACAGUGCAAGUGUGCCGAAAGUUGAAACCAUAACGUCCGACAGCAAGGAUGACAGCACUCAUAUGGAUGCCAUUUAAGGGGAUGGAUGCAACCUAGCUUAACCGUGUAAUGCUGCAAACUUUUUUCCGUUAUCAGCCAGAAGUGCAACAUGUAUGUGCAAAAGCUAAAAUAGCUUAAUGUCAUGCUACACUUUACACUAGAAAUUAUUACUCUGAGUGGUCUCUAAGCCCAAUGAGACAUACAUCAGUGAGCAGAUGUAGUUUGCUUAUUUAUAGCAUGUUUCUUUUUGAAGAACUAGUGGUGGACACAUUUGGAUCACAUUUAUACAGUUACCAAUAUCAAAUAAAGAUUUGAUACUGGUCAUUCUA